RNAcentral lists this long non-coding RNA (297 nucleotides) under Gossypium barbadense (sea-island cotton). RNAcentral describes it as "long non-coding RNA (GBAR_LNC008452)". The record is from RNAcentral. Lineage: Eukaryota; Viridiplantae; Streptophyta; Magnoliopsida; Malvales; Malvaceae.
AAAUCCCUUGGCAAUUAGAUUAAAUAUGUAAAUACCGUUUGAGAUUUUGUAAUUUGUUGGCAAAGCGGGUAGGGGAGGUCGAGGCUCCAUUCAGUCAAAUGCUGAAGAAUUUUUUAGCUGCUCGAGUUGAAGAACUGAACAAAAUAAAAAACACACUAGCCGAGCUCUCUGUUUCAGCAACCAAAAAGUCUCAACAAUUGAAUGAGUUAAAAAGGAACAUUGAAGAGAAAUUUUUAGCACUGGCGAAGAGAAAUAACGAUACCCUCCAUCGCCAGUAAGCUUCACUCUUUAAUCCCA